AGAAGAAGAAGAAGAAGAAGCAGAAGGAGAAGGUUCUUGAAGUUCAGGAAAGUUUGGACUUUCUCCUUCUAAAAACCGUAAAAGAAGAGCAGCCUGGACCUGCCACCAACAUGGCUGACGAGUGACGAGACACAGUCCUAGAAGGACUUGGACCUGGUUUUGAUCUCACAAUGUAAAAAAAAGGAGAAGGGCGUCUAAACAUGAAAGAAAGCAGAAAACUUAGCCUGAAUGUGACAUAGGAGGGUAAUUUACAAGCAGACGACGUCCAAAUGACGCGUCGUUACAGAGGAACCCAGGAUGUGCUGCACUGGCUACGCUGGUUUUCUCUUGUACUGGGAGACUGAGGUGUAUACUG
Long non-coding RNA from Solea senegalensis (Senegalese sole), 355 nucleotides. RefSeq lists it as uncharacterized. The transcript is spliced from 4 exons. The record is from RefSeq and is a predicted model, not a curated record. NCBI's taxonomy places the organism in Eukaryota, Metazoa, Chordata, Actinopteri, Pleuronectiformes, Soleidae.